AGAGUUUGAUCAUGGCUCAGGAUGAACGCUAGCUACAGGCUUAACACAUGCAAGUCGAGGGGCAGCAUUGGGGUAGCAAUACUCAGAUGGCGACCGGCGCACGGGUGAGUAACACGUAUCCAACCUGCCGCUUACUCGGGGAUAGCCUUUCGAAAGAAAGAUUAAUACCCGAUGGUAUAAAGAGUUCGCAUGUUCUCUUUAUUAAAGAAUUUCGGUAAGCGAUGGGGAUGCGUUCCAUUAGAUAGUUGGCGGGGUAACGGCCCACCAAGUCUACGAUGGAUAGGGGUUCUGAGAGGAAGGUCCCCCACAUUGGAACUGAGACACGGUCCAAACUCCUACGGGAGGCAGCAGUGAGGAAUAUUGGUCAAUGGACGAGAGUCUGAACCAGCCAAAAGUAGCGUGAAGGAUGACUGCCCUAUGGGUUGUAAACUUCUUUUAUAAGGGAAUAAAGUGAGGGACGUGUCCCUUUUUGUAUGUACCUUAUGAAUAAGGAUCGGCUAACUCCGUGCCAGCCGCGGC
RNAcentral lists this ribosomal RNA (519 nucleotides) under uncultured bacterium. Its description in RNAcentral is "bacterial SSU rRNA". It matches the Rfam family "Bacterial small subunit ribosomal RNA", at positions 8 to 518 of the family's 1533-position model. The record is from RNAcentral.